CGCGUAGGCGGCCAGCGCAAGUCAGUUGUGAAAUCUCCGGGCUUAACUCGGAAAGGUCAACUGAUACUGCGCGGCUAGAGUGCGGAAGGGGCAACUGGAAUUCUCGGUGUAGCGGUGAAAUGCGUAGAUAUCGAGAGGAACACCUGCGGCGAAGGCGGGUUGCUGGGCCGACACUGACGCUGAUGUGCGAAAGCCAGGGGAGCGAACG
RNAcentral lists this ribosomal RNA (208 nucleotides) under uncultured bacterium. RNAcentral describes it as "partial 16S ribosomal RNA". It matches the Rfam family "Bacterial small subunit ribosomal RNA", at positions 568 to 774 of the family's 1533-position model. The record is from RNAcentral.